AACCGGCUGGAUUAUUUUUCUUCACCCUUGUCUUUUGCGCACUUGUUGUUUCCUGGGCGGGUUCGCUCGCCACCAGGACCACACCAUAAACCUUUUUGUUAAUGCAAUCAGCGUCAGUAAAAAGUAAUAAUUAUUUUACAACUUUCAACAACGGAUCUCUUGGUUCUGGCAUCGAUGAAGAACGCAGCGAAAUGCGAUACGUAGUGUGAAUUGCAGAAUUCAGUGAAUCAUCGAAUCUUUGAACGCACAUUGCGCCCUUUGGUAUUCCAAAGGGCAUGCCUGUUCGAGCGUCAUUUGUACCCUCAAGCUUUGCUUGGUGUUGGGCGUUGUUUGUCUUUGGCCUUGCCCAAAGACUCGCCUUAAAACAAUUGGCAGCCGGCCUACUGGUUUCGCAGCGCAGCACAUUUUUGCGCUUGCAAUCAGCAAAAGAGGUUGGCCAUCCAUCAAGACUACAUUUAUACGUUUGACCUCGGAUCAGGUAGGGAUACCCGCUGAACUUAAGCAUAUCAAUAAGCGGAGGAA
RNAcentral lists this ribosomal RNA (522 nucleotides) under Curvularia lunata. Its description in RNAcentral is "eukaryotic LSU rRNA". The stretch from base 140 to 293 matches the Rfam family "5.8S ribosomal RNA". Lineage: Eukaryota; Fungi; Ascomycota; Dothideomycetes; Pleosporales; Pleosporaceae. The record is from RNAcentral.